Callithrix jacchus (white-tufted-ear marmoset) is the source of this 1148-nucleotide non-coding RNA. NCBI's taxonomy places the organism in Eukaryota, Metazoa, Chordata, Mammalia, Primates, Cebidae. The record is from RefSeq and is a predicted model, not a curated record.
AAAAUUUGUUAUUGUUUGUUUUUUAACAGUGUGGUGGUUGGAGAUGCUCCCUAGAAUUUCCGCUUUUCACUUAUUCCUUGAUUCAACCCAUCACCGCUAUGGCUGCCGUCACUCACUGAUUCACCGGAUAUUGGGGAAAAAGAGAAGAAGAAGGGGAAAAAAAGAAAAAGAGGGAAAAAGGAAUAUUACUUCAUUCCUAAAAUGGGUUUCAAUAAUGGCCGAUCAAUAUUUUGAGUGUUUAAAGUGGUUAAUGCAUAUUUUAUAUGUUUAAAAUGGAGACCUCUAUUGUGUUUAUUUGUUCUGGCUCUGAGUUCAAGUCCUGGAUAUCGUUAUCAAUUUGUUGUCUCGUUGAAUCUAAAUCUCAUUAUGUGUCUUAUGUAUCUGGGUGUUAAGAUCUCUUAUUGUUGCAUUAAUCCUUUUACCCUUGCAUCCUUGUAGCUUUGAAAUCUAUUUUAUAAGUGUGAGAAUUGCAACUCCUGCUUUUUAUUUAUUUAUUUUUGCUCUCCAUUUGGUUAGUGAGUUUUUUUCCAUCCCCUUGUUUUGAGUCUUUGUAUAUCUUUAGAUAUAUCGUUAGAUUUUAUGGAUAAUGUAUAUUUUGUGUGUUUAAAAAUGGAGAGCUCUAUUGAGUUUAUUUGUUCUGGAUCUUAGUUCCAGUCCUGGAUAUCGUUAUCAAUUUUCUGUCUCGUUGAAUCUAAAUCUCAUUAUGGGUCUUAUGUAUCUGGGUGUUAAGAUCUCUUAUUAUUACAUUAAUCCUUUUACCCUUGUAUCCUUGUAGCUUUGAAAUCUAUUUUGUCAAAUGUGAAAAUUGCAACUCCUGCUUUUUAUUUAUUUAGUUUUGCUCUCCAUUUGGUUGGUUUUUUUUUUCCAACCCUUUAUUUUGAGUCUAUGUAUAUCUUUGGAUAUACCGUUAGAUUUUGUCUGUAUCUUUUGAUUGGGAGAUUUGGUCGAUUUAAAUUUAGGGUUGCUGCCAUUUGAUAUUAACUGGCUAUUUUGUCCUUUUGUUGAUAAAAAUUCUUCUUUAUGUUAAUGCUCUUUACUUUUUGGUGUAUUUUUAGAAAGGGUCAUACUGGUUGUUCCUUUCUGUGUAUAGUGCUUCUUUUAGAAGUUCUUGUAAAGCAGGCCUGGUGGUAAUAAAAUCUCUGAGUACU